AUUGAACGCUGGCGGAAUGCUUUACACAUGCAAGUCGAACGGCAGCACGGGGCAACCUGGUGGCGAGUGGCGAACGGGUGAGUAAUACAUCGGAACGUGCCCAAUCGUGGGGGAUAACGUAGCGAAAGUUACGCUAAUACCGCAUACGAUCUACGGAUGAAAGCGGGGGAUCGCAAGACCUCGCGCGAGUGGAGCGGCCGAUGUCAGAUUAGGUAGUUGGUGGGGUAAAGGCUCACCAAGCCAACGAUCUGUAGCUGGUCUGAGAGGACGACCAGCCACACUGGAACUGAGACACGGUCCAGACUCCUACGGGAGGCAGCAGUGGGGAAUUUUGGACAAUGGGCGCAAGCCUGAUCCAGCCAUUCCGCGUGCAGGAUGAAGGCCUCGGUUGUAACUAGCUUUGUACGGUACGAACGGCGAGCUCUAAUACAGUUUGCUAAUGACGGUACCGUAAGAAUAAGCACCGGCUAACUACGUAGCCAGCAGCCGCGGUAAACU
This 498-nucleotide ribosomal RNA is filed under the name uncultured bacterium. Its description in RNAcentral is "bacterial SSU rRNA". It matches the Rfam family "Bacterial small subunit ribosomal RNA", at positions 30 to 526 of the family's 1533-position model. The record is from RNAcentral.